This is a non-coding RNA of Phascolarctos cinereus (koala), 570 nucleotides long. The record is from RefSeq and is a predicted model, not a curated record. Lineage: Eukaryota; Metazoa; Chordata; Mammalia; Diprotodontia; Phascolarctidae.
GCACCUCAUUUUAAAAUUCAAGCCCUGGUCUCUCUUGUAUCCCUUCACCUGGGCAUUCUGCUUUAAUCUUGGGAGCUCCUGCCCGUACUACACUGGCUUAUCUCUCGUUUUCUCAAUUAGUGUCUGUUCACCAGAGCCUUGAACUUAGUGCUGUCUUUUAGCCACAGGAUCUUCGCAGGGUAUACGAGAGCUGGCAAGUGUUCCUUCCUCUCUUCUCCCUUACUCACCCCCAUCCCAAGUGAAAGAAUGUGAAGUUAACGUUUUUCAAACAUCUCAGCAACAAGGUGCAGUUCUAUAUAAAACCCAGAGAGGAUUGGAGGAUGCACAGGCAACUUCAAGCCCGUCCUGGUGCAGAAGGAGGAGAAAAACAGAAGACAUAGUAGAUAGAGACCUAAACUUGAAUUUAAAAGGAUUUGGGAUUAAAUGCCCCUGAGACACCUACUAGCUGUGUGACUCUAGACUUGGUAUGACAGAAGCCAGCUGGGCUUGGAGAACUAGUGACCUCUGUUUAAGAAUGAAAUCAAAUGUUGCCUCAUCAACUAUGACAUGCUGAUUGCCUUACAGUCAUUA